AUACAAAUUGCCUGGGGUUCUUGUUAAAAUACAGAUUCUGAUUCAGAAGGUCAGGGGUGAUGCCAUAGAUCCUGGUUCUAACAGGUUUCCAGGUUUAAUAU
RNAcentral lists this microRNA precursor (101 nucleotides) under Marmota monax (woodchuck). The record is from RNAcentral. Lineage: Eukaryota; Metazoa; Chordata; Mammalia; Rodentia; Sciuridae.